This 74-nucleotide transfer RNA is filed under the name Caloramator australicus RC3. It matches the Rfam family "tRNA". Rfam says of the family: Transfer RNA (tRNA) molecules are approximately 80 nucleotides in length. Their secondary structure includes four short double-helical elements and three loops (D, anti-codon, and T loops). Further hydrogen bonds mediate the characteristic L-shaped molecular structure. tRNAs have two regions of fundamental functional importance: the anti-codon, which is responsible for specific mRNA codon recognition, and the 3' end, to which the tRNAs corresponding amino acid is attached (by aminoacyl-tRNA synthetases). tRNAs cope with the degeneracy of the genetic code in two manners: having more than one tRNA (with a specific anti-codon) for a particular amino acid; and 'wobble' base-pairing, i.e. permitting non-standard base-pairing at the 3rd anti-codon position. The record is from Rfam by way of RNAcentral. Lineage: Bacteria; Bacillati; Bacillota; Clostridia; Eubacteriales; Clostridiaceae.
GCGCCCUUAGCUCAGUUGGAUAGAGCAACGGCCUUCUAAGCCGUGUGUCGGGAGUUCGAAUCUCUCAGGGCGCA